UGGAUCCAGGAGCCCUCAAAGAUAUCUCCGUUAGAAUAAACUUGAUAUCCUAACCCAUGUUUGAGAUUCAACCGCCAUCUUCCCUUAUAGGUCAAAUUAUUGGAACCAAUAUAGGUCCCCGUACCAUGCAUAUAACCACCUGAAAAUUCACCCUCAUAAGCAGCUCCAGAAGGCCAUUGAAUUUUUCCAUUUCCAUGCCUCAUCCCCCGUCUCCAUUCUCCCUCAUAAAUGCAACCAUCUGACCACACGUACUUCCCAUGGCCCUCAGGUACAUUGCUGAGCAACGACCCAGAAUAUGAUUCCCCAUUGGGAAGACUGAGCUCCCCAACUCUAAAGGAAGCAGCUUCAGAGGAAGCAUGGGUAGUUUCACCGUUGAUUGAUAUAGACAAGCGGUCUCUAUCAGAGAUGGCAUCAACAGAUUUUGUUCUGUCUGCAGAAGUUAGUACUCUUUCAACAUUAUCAGCAAUGGCCACAAGACCAGACAUG
Molecule: unclassified non-coding RNA, 486 nt
Filed under: Hevea brasiliensis (rubber tree)
Lineage: Eukaryota; Viridiplantae; Streptophyta; Magnoliopsida; Malpighiales; Euphorbiaceae
Source: RNAcentral